RNAcentral lists this ribosomal RNA (470 nucleotides) under uncultured bacterium. RNAcentral's name for it is "partial 16S ribosomal RNA". It matches the Rfam family "Bacterial small subunit ribosomal RNA", at positions 28 to 507 of the family's 1533-position model. The record is from RNAcentral.
GACGAACGCUGGCGGCGUGCUUAACACAUGCAAGUCGAACGCUGAAGCACCAGCUUGCUGGUGUGGAUGAGUGGCGAACGGGUGAGUAAUACGUGAGUAACCUGCCCUUGACUCUGGGAUAAGCCCGGGAAACUGGGUCUAAUACUGGAUGCUACAUGUCACCGCAUGGUGGUGUGUGGAAAGGGUUUACUGGUCUUGGAUGGGCUCACGGCCUAUCAGCUUGUUGGUGAGGUAAUGGCUCACCAAGGCGACGACGGGUAGCCGGCCUGAGAGGGUGACCGGCCACACUGGGACUGAGACACGGCCCAGACUCCUACGGGAGGCAGCAGUGGGGAAUAUUGCACAAUGGGCGAAAGCCUGAUGCAGCGACGCCGCGUGAGGGAGGACGGCCUUCGGGUUGGAAACCUCUUUCAGCAGGGAAGAAGCCACAAGUGACGGUACCUGCAGAAGAAGCGCCGGCUAACUACGUG